GGUCCGUGUUUCAAGACGGGUGCAAUAAAUUGCCUUCCGUGUUGGUAAUUUCACUACUUUAUUGGUCUGAAAAGACCUUUCUUCUUUCCUUCGCAGUACUUCUUCGCUAUCGGUGUUCUGUUAUAUUUAGUCUUGGAUGCGAUC
RNAcentral lists this ribosomal RNA (144 nucleotides) under Nosema sp. RNAcentral describes it as "partial small subunit ribosomal RNA". Lineage: Eukaryota; Fungi; Microsporidia; Nosematidae. The record is from RNAcentral.